CACUUCCUGACCUUUGUUUCUGAUACAUUCUUUGAGAGGACAUCUCCACCUACCCCGUCACCUGGAUUGGAUCACCAGCCUCUCCCAAGAUGGGCCUGGCUUCCUCCUUGCUGGGGAAAGGAACAGGCAAUUCCACGGAGACGUCGUGCAGAUUGGCGGUGGCCAGGCUCCGGUGGAGGGAGGUGGCAGGCAAUGGAGAGUGGCUGCUGGCAGGCGUGGGGCUUCUCAGAAGAAAAAUGUUCUAAAAUUACCUUGUGGCUAUGGUUCCACACACUGAGACUAUACUAAAACCACUGCAUUUCCAGGCCGUAGGUCUAGUGGAAGCUGCUUCCGAGCCAUGGAGGAAAGCCAGCCUGUGACUGUUCAGCCCAAGCCUGACCAUAUACUGCAUGAACCUUUGGGAGUACAUUUUCUAUGCCUGCCUGAAGUAAGAUAAAGUUGAACAAUUGGGGGUAAAUACUUUGCAUAAUGGUGAGCCAGUGAUAGUUCCAGACAGUUUAUAGGGCUGCCAGGGAGUGUGGACUCGUGAGACAAGUGUGAACUCUUCACCAAGGCAGCCCACCGUACCAGAUACUUUGGAUGGCUUGAGCUCUGCAGGACCACUGGAUGGCUCGAGGUUCUGAGCAGGCAGAAGGCUUCUUUCAGAGCUCUUCAGUGACAAC
RNAcentral lists this long non-coding RNA (662 nucleotides) under Callithrix jacchus (white-tufted-ear marmoset). Its description in RNAcentral is "lncRNA (ENSCJAG00000084455.1)". Lineage: Eukaryota; Metazoa; Chordata; Mammalia; Primates; Cebidae. The record is from RNAcentral.